UCUGAGUUGGUAAUCACUUCUCCUGUUUCAAAAUUGACAUAUGAGUUGGCCAUGUUCAGUAAAUUUCAUGAAAAUCAGAGGUGUAGUAUCUAUGUACCAGGAAUAGUAAUUAUGGUUGGUCAUGUUCAGAAGCUUUUACUUGCUUGGUUGAUUAUUACUUAAUGGGUAUUUCUAAUCCAGGUGAACAUCAACUAUGUCUUAGAUGUUGGCUUAGAUAUCCAGACACUUAUUUCAGUUGGAAUUAGAAGCAUCGGUCAUGGGUUUCAAACUAAUAUCCAGAAAUUCAUGGUCUAAAUGCACAGGUUUUAGUAUGUAUUAGACUUGUAUGAGUUCGCCAUACUCCCAAACUCUGCUCCUCUGCGUGUGCUAGCUGUACUUGUUUAUGGUACUCCUUUCCAUCUUAAAUUACUUGCAUAUAAUAAUUGCUGUAUUCCAAGAAAUUAUGUUAUGUGGCUGAACAGAUAAGCUAUCUACAUCACACAUACAGAUAGGAAAUCUUCCUCUCAUUCCAUUGUGUUUGCGUUUUUACAUUCUUUCUCCAGCAACUAGUAUCAGUCAUAACAUCAAGGACGGAGCAGAGAUCACUAGAGCCAGUCAUAAUAAUCUACCAGGGAUAGUAAUUGUUGGUUACAGGCUACCAAGGGUUGCAGUUCAUUGUAUAUGCAGUUCUAGUAGCAGUCAUGAUAUCAAGGACGGAUAAGAGACUAGUAGAGCCUUUCAGAAGCUUUUACUUGCUUGGUUGAUUAGUGUUCUUGUAUAGAACAGUUCAUUGUAUAAUGUCGUAGAUGCUGGCUUGGAUAUUCCAGACACUUGUUUCAGUUCGAAUUAGAAGCAUCAUGGCAUGGGUUUCAAACAAGUGUCCAUAAACUGGGGGUCUAAAUGCACACGUUUGAGCAUGUAUUGGACUUGUAUGAGUUGGUUAUACUUCCAAAAUCUGUUCCUCUGCAUGUGCUAGCUGUACUUGUUUAUGGUACUUCUUUUUAUCUUAAAUUACUUUGGUGUAAUUACAUGAUAAUUUCUGCUACUCCAAGAAAUUCUGUUAUGCGAGUACUAUUGCUAAACAAGUAAGCUAUCUCCAUCACGCAUUCAGUUAGGAAAUCUUUCUCUGAUUCCAGUGUGUUUGUAUUGUUUGCAUUCUUUCUGCAACAUUUGCUUCUCAUGUUCCCCUUUAAUUUUAUCAAAACUGGACCAUAUGUACAGAAAUCACGUGCCAUAUAUGUUUACUUCUAUAUGCCGAUAUCCAUCUUCUUGUUUGGCUUUCCUUACACAGUUGUCCCUCUUGCUUGUGGUAGCCUUUACGUAGCUGAAUAUUUUCUGUAACAGGUACAUGCCCUUCUCCAGAUCAACCCGGCUGCUGAAUUCCUGGACUCAUGGCAGCAGAAAACUCGCACAUUUGUCAAUAACAACUGUCACACUUACUAUCAUACACUUCUUGCUACAGUCUCUUCGUCAGCUACGUCAAAACUCGUUACGUUCAGUCCAAUAUAUGGGGCUCGUAAGCUAUGUCAAAACUUCUGUUUGUACCUAGGACUGGAUCAUGCUAUGAACAUUCUUUAUACCUUGUAUUAUAGGAAUUGUCGUCAGCCGGUCGAUUAAUCCGUUGGAUAUCGGAAGUUUGCUGAGUUUGUUCUGUCGUGUCUUAGCAUCUUUCUUUCUUCCUCGUUUCUUUCUUGCUGGUUUACAUGCGCUCUUCACUCAGAAAUUGGUUGCUGUGAACUGAGAUAACUUUUUCAGAUGUUUUGGACAUUUUUGCAAGAAUUCGUUUGGAACUGGGUGUAUCCUCAGCUCCAAGAAUCCGCUGAUGACUUAUCAUCGUUGUUUCUGUGGCAUCUGUGAUGUGUUCCUUCUGGCUAUGAUACAAUCCUG
This 1866-nucleotide long non-coding RNA is filed under the name Triticum aestivum (bread wheat). Its description in RNAcentral is "long non-coding RNA (TAES_LNC017178)". Lineage: Eukaryota; Viridiplantae; Streptophyta; Magnoliopsida; Poales; Poaceae. The record is from RNAcentral.